This 200-nucleotide long non-coding RNA is filed under the name Elaeis guineensis (African oil palm). Its description in RNAcentral is "long non-coding RNA (EGUI_LNC062126)". The record is from RNAcentral. Lineage: Eukaryota; Viridiplantae; Streptophyta; Magnoliopsida; Arecales; Arecaceae.
CACAAUAAUGGCCACGAUUCUAUCCCACUUCCUACGAUGGAUACCACGCGGUUCCUCCACCCUCUGGCAAGUCACGACAACGGAUGUAGCUCCACUCCCCGCAACAAACUCCACGUGGCAUGUCCCGGUGACGGCCACGAUCCCACUCCACUAUUCUUCGCAACAAACUCCUCCUGACCCUGGGCAGCCCACUGCCAGAC